CGUACCACACCGCCCCGUCACGAACCAUGGGAGUGGGUUGUACCCAAGAACGGAGGUAGAACCUAACCCGACGAAGGAGGUACGCCGUACCCAACGGGUAUGAUUCAUGACUGGGGUG
Molecule: ribosomal RNA, 118 nt
Filed under: uncultured bacterium
Lineage: Bacteria
Description: partial 16S ribosomal RNA
Source: RNAcentral